GCGAUUCGUCGAUGGCCCAUAUGAUCGUUCGAAGAUGAUCGCAAGAAAUAAGCGACUGUGGAUCUUUCUCCUUGGUUCGAGAUGAUGAAGAAUCAACGUCGCUCGUCGAGGCGGAGACGUGUCGAGGAGGAAACGCAAGAGCGAGAGGCUGUUGAAUAAUCGACGAGCAGCCGGGAGGAAAAAUUGAGCGACGAAGAAACGGGAUGAAGCUGGAUCGAGCGUAGAAAGAAAAAAGAAAAGAAGAAGGAAGCAUUCGGUAAAGAGCGAAACCGUCGAC
Long non-coding RNA from Dufourea novaeangliae, 277 nucleotides. RefSeq lists it as uncharacterized. NCBI's taxonomy places the organism in Eukaryota, Metazoa, Arthropoda, Insecta, Hymenoptera, Halictidae. The record is from RefSeq and is a predicted model, not a curated record. The transcript has 3 exons.